GGCUGAGCCCGGGGUCUUGCCAGUCAUCCCAGAGGCAUCUUCCUCUGGCUCAGAGGCCCACUCUGACAUCCUGGGGGUUCCACCCAAGGGCCAGGAGGGGACUGCCCAGAAAGGGGAACAGAAAGGGAGGAAGCCACCCAGAACAGCCUAACAAGCACCACUGUCAUCGCCUUCAGAGUCAAACACCUCUGAACCCCAGUGUCAUGGAGCCCUGGGGUCUUCAUGUCCCUGGAAUCUGAGAAUCAGGCACCUGGUGCCAGGAAGAGACUCUGAGGCCAUCGCGGGCCACUUCAGGCUCCAGACUGGACUCCCUGUCCCCCACAGCCCUAAUGGGGGACUAGGGGUCCCUGAGUCUUGAAAUUUCCUUGAGUGAGCGUCCGGAAACAUAGUCCUAGAUGGUACCAGAAGUCCUAGAACAGCGCUGUGCACAGCGCUUGCGUCGAUGGGGGAGAUGCUCCCCACCCCGGACGGCGGCCAGCCACUUGCCCACAGGCUCCCGAGCAUUUGAAAUGGGGCUGGUGAAACGGAGGAGGAGCUGAGUCUUUAAAGAUGAAGGAUCUGAGGCACGGCGCCCCCCGGGGGAAGUGAAUGCUCCACAGAGGACUCAGAUCGUGUGUUGCUAUGUGCCUCCACUCCCACGGGACCCCAGAGACGGUGACCACGGGCUCCGGUGAGCUGAGUCGCAGAAAGGCCAGGCAGCCAUGGG
Long non-coding RNA from Camelus dromedarius (Arabian camel), 706 nucleotides. RefSeq lists it as uncharacterized. The record is from RefSeq and is a predicted model, not a curated record. NCBI's taxonomy places the organism in Eukaryota, Metazoa, Chordata, Mammalia, Artiodactyla, Camelidae. The transcript has 3 exons.